This 497-nucleotide ribosomal RNA is filed under the name uncultured bacterium. Its description in RNAcentral is "partial 16S ribosomal RNA". It matches the Rfam family "Bacterial small subunit ribosomal RNA", at positions 28 to 507 of the family's 1533-position model. The record is from RNAcentral.
GAUGAACGCUGGCGGCGUGCCUAAUACAUGCAAGUCGAGCGAACAGACGAGGAGCUUGCUCCUCUGACUUUAUCGGCGGACGGGUGAGUAACACGUGGAUAACCUACCUAUAAGACUGGGAUAACUUCGGGAAACCGGAGCUAAUACCGGAUAAUAUAUUGAACCGCAUGGUUCAAUAGUGAAAGACGGUUUUGCUGUCACUUAUAGAUGGAUCCGCGCCGCAUCAGCUAGUUGGUAAGGUAACUGCUUACCAAGGCAACGAUGCGUAGCCGACCUGAGAGGGUGAUUGGCCACACUGGCACUGAGACACGGUCCAGACUCUUACGGGAGGCCGCAGUAGGGACUCCUACGCAAUGGGCGAAAGCGUGACGGAGCAACGCCGCGUGAGUGCUGAAGGUCUUCGGAUUGUAAAACUCUGUUAUUAGGGAAGAACAAAUGUGUAAGUAACUAUGCACGUCUUGACGGUACCUAAUCAGAAAGCCACGGCUAACUACGUG